AGUAACACUCUGGGAGGGCUCAGGCCACAUCACGAAAUGUGACAGGAUAGCCUUGAACUCAUCAAUUGCUGGGGGCACCUCAAACUCAACUCCAAAAUUGAUCUAAUGAACUUUCCCAAACCACAUUCCCUUCUUGCAUUUCUGAGAGAAUGGAUUCCCAUUCAUCUGACUACAGUGCUACCCUGAAAGCAGAUCCAGAGACUAAGAUUCACCUGCAGGUGAUUCAUUUGCAAGGUAAGCUGUCAUCAGUUGGAGGUAAGCAGAAGACAGUAGAGAGUACAGAGCCCUGGACUGUGACUCAGAGGAUGAGCACCAGAUCCAGUUUGCUGUGCCACAGUGGGCCUGUGAUAUUUUGAAGCAGGAAGCUGACCUGAGACCUUCAGAAUAAACUGAUCACUGUGGAUAAUGAAAAGGCCCCACCCAGGACAUUGAUUGAGCACCCCUGCCUGUCUCAUUCCUUCUUCUCUUUCUUUUUAUUAUGUGCUUACCAUAAUAAAAAUUUUUAUUGUCUUUA
Molecule: long non-coding RNA, 514 nt
Filed under: Homo sapiens (human)
Lineage: Eukaryota; Metazoa; Chordata; Mammalia; Primates; Hominidae
Description: HSALNT0379697
Source: RNAcentral